AAAUUGAAGAGUUUGAUCAUGGCUCAGAUUGAACGCUGGCGGCAGGCCUAACACAUGCAAGUCGAGCGGUAGCACAGAGAGCUUGCUCUCGGGUGACGAGCGG
This 103-nucleotide ribosomal RNA is filed under the name Klebsiella pneumoniae. RNAcentral describes it as "partial 16S ribosomal RNA". It matches the Rfam family "Bacterial small subunit ribosomal RNA", at positions 1 to 98 of the family's 1533-position model. The record is from RNAcentral. RNAcentral also lists the same sequence under 3 other names. Lineage: Bacteria; Pseudomonadati; Pseudomonadota; Gammaproteobacteria; Enterobacterales; Enterobacteriaceae.